GCCGCUGUAGCUCAAUUGGUAGAGCAACUGACUUGUAAUCAGUAGGUUGGGGGUUCAAGUCCUCUCGGCGGCA
Molecule: transfer RNA, 73 nt
Organism: Desulfuribacillus alkaliarsenatis
Lineage: Bacteria; Bacillati; Bacillota; Desulfuribacillia; Desulfuribacillales; Desulfuribacillaceae
Rfam family: tRNA
About the family: Transfer RNA (tRNA) molecules are approximately 80 nucleotides in length.
Source: Rfam